GGGGAGGUACCCAAGCGGUCAACGGGGGCAGACUGUAAAUCUGCUGGCGUAUGCCUUCGGGGGUUCGAAUCCUCCCCUCCCCA
This 83-nucleotide transfer RNA is filed under the name Candidatus Coatesiibacteriota bacterium. RNAcentral describes it as "Candidatus Coatesbacteria bacterium tRNA-Tyr". It matches the Rfam family "tRNA". Rfam says of the family: Transfer RNA (tRNA) molecules are approximately 80 nucleotides in length. Their secondary structure includes four short double-helical elements and three loops (D, anti-codon, and T loops). Further hydrogen bonds mediate the characteristic L-shaped molecular structure. tRNAs have two regions of fundamental functional importance: the anti-codon, which is responsible for specific mRNA codon recognition, and the 3' end, to which the tRNAs corresponding amino acid is attached (by aminoacyl-tRNA synthetases). tRNAs cope with the degeneracy of the genetic code in two manners: having more than one tRNA (with a specific anti-codon) for a particular amino acid; and 'wobble' base-pairing, i.e. permitting non-standard base-pairing at the 3rd anti-codon position. Lineage: Bacteria; Candidatus Coatesiibacteriota. The record is from RNAcentral.